CAGUCGAGCGGUAGAGAGAAGCUUGCUUCUCUUGAGAGCGGCGGACGGGUGAGUAAUGCCUAGGAAUCUGCCUGGUAGUGGGGGAUAACGUUCGGAAACGGACGCUAAUACCGCAUACGUCCUACGGGAGAAAGCAGGGGACCUUCGGGCCUUGCGCUAUCAGAUGAGCCUAGGUCGGAUUAGCUAGUUGGUGGGGUAAUGGCUCACCAAGGCGACGAUCCGUAACUGGUCUGAGAGGAUGAUCAGUCACACUGGAACUGAGACACGGUCCAGACUCCUACGGGAGGCAGCAGUGGGGAAUAUUGGACAAUGGGCGAAAGCCUGAUCCAGCCAUGCCGCGUGUGUGAAGAAGGUCUUCGGAUUGUAAAGCACUUUAAGUUGGGAGGAAGGGUUGUAGAUUAAUACUCUGCAAUUUUGACGUUACCGACAGAAUAAGCACCGGCUAACUCUGUGCCAGCAGCCGCCGGUAAUACAGUAGGGUGCAAGCGGUUAAUCGAGAAUUACUGGAGCGUAAAGCGCGCGUAGGUGGGUUUGUUAAGUUGGGAUGUGAAAUCCCCGGUGCUCAACCUGGCGAACUGCAUUCAAAACUGACUGACUAGAGUAUGGUAGAGGGUGGUGGAAUUUCCUGUGUAGCGGUGAAAUGCGUAGAUAUAGGAAGGAACACCAGUGGCGAAGGCGACCACCUGGACUAAUACUGACACUG
Molecule: ribosomal RNA, 703 nt
Filed under: Pseudomonas cedrina
Lineage: Bacteria; Pseudomonadati; Pseudomonadota; Gammaproteobacteria; Pseudomonadales; Pseudomonadaceae
Description: bacterial SSU rRNA
Rfam family: Bacterial small subunit ribosomal RNA
Source: RNAcentral